UACGUAGGGGGCAAGCGUUGUCCGGAUUCAUUGGGCGUAAAGAGCUCGUAGGCGGCUUGGCAAGUCGGGUGUGAAAACUUCAGGCUCAACCUGGAGCGGCCACUCGAUACUGCCAUGGCUUGAGUCCGGUAGGGGACCACGGAAUUCCUGGUGUAGCGGUGAAAUGCGCAGAUAUCAGGAGGAACACCGGUGGCGAAGGCGGUUCUCUGGGCAUGUCCUGACGCUGAGGAGCGAAAGUGUGGGGAGCGAACAGG
RNAcentral lists this ribosomal RNA (254 nucleotides) under uncultured bacterium. RNAcentral's name for it is "partial 16S ribosomal RNA". It matches the Rfam family "Bacterial small subunit ribosomal RNA", at positions 524 to 776 of the family's 1533-position model. The record is from RNAcentral.